GGUGGCUCAGUGGUAGAGCACUUGCCUUGCAUGCAUGUGGUCCUGGGUUCGAUUCCCCAGCACCA
RNAcentral lists this transfer RNA (65 nucleotides) under Dipodomys ordii (Ord's kangaroo rat). It matches the Rfam family "tRNA". Rfam says of the family: Transfer RNA (tRNA) molecules are approximately 80 nucleotides in length. Their secondary structure includes four short double-helical elements and three loops (D, anti-codon, and T loops). The record is from Rfam by way of RNAcentral. Lineage: Eukaryota; Metazoa; Chordata; Mammalia; Rodentia; Heteromyidae.